Molecule: long non-coding RNA, 790 nt
Filed under: Chrysolophus pictus (golden pheasant)
Lineage: Eukaryota; Metazoa; Chordata; Aves; Galliformes; Phasianidae
Description: lncRNA (ENSCPIG00010007061.1)
Source: RNAcentral
GUAAAAUGUUGUUCAGGAGAAAGCACUGCCUUUUACUGCCCUGUACCUUAUUCUAUCCAUUCAGGUACAGAAACAGUACAGAAACACCUGCUGCUGCUCUAACAGCAGUGAAGAUGAUCUACUUUUUCCGUGAAGUCCUCCACAUAGAGAUGAAGAUCCUUAGGUGGGAGCCUACAGCAUCAGAACUCCUUUGGCCCAGUGCUGAUGACCCCAAGGACUGCCAAGGAAAGGACUCCCCUGUGAGCAGAAUAUGAGACACCAAGAGCACAGCUAACAAACUGCAACGCCAAUGCAGAGGUCUGAUGGAGAUCAUUAAUUCACUGCUAAAGCUAUGGUUCCUAUAAAGAACAAAGCAUCAGGCUUCUCCACAUGCAAAGACAAAAUCUCCCCAGCAAUACAGAACUCUGUGCCUCAUCUUGUUCAGAAGAGCAUUUGUGGAGGGAGGGAGGAAUGAAGCAAUCCGUCCCCAGCCACACUUCUCUUGACACAGCCUCUUAUGCAGCUCUGCACGUGUGCACUGAGUGUCACUCCUGCAUCGGGACACGCUCGCUUGUUUUUCUGAAUCUGUACCACUACGUUGCCCAGCACGAGACAAAGGAAUGCCAUUUUAACACUGACGAAGCCUGUGGUGACAUGAGUGCCACAGGUAUCUGGCAUCAGCUUGCAGAAUUUGGGGUCCCCUGGUGUGCAGCAGUUCUGAGCAGAGCAACACUCCUGCUGUAACCGGGGCACCCUGAGGAGCACGGAGCUGUGUGCAGGGCUCUGAAAAGGCAUUUCCGUGGGAGACGAC